Long non-coding RNA from Bombus pyrosoma, 1495 nucleotides. RefSeq lists it as uncharacterized. The record is from RefSeq and is a predicted model, not a curated record. Lineage: Eukaryota; Metazoa; Arthropoda; Insecta; Hymenoptera; Apidae. The transcript has 2 exons.
AUAGAAGAUGGUGAUGCUAGCUUUUGUGCCUUUGUUGGAGUGCUUGGUGGUGGUUGUGGUGAAUCAUCUUUUGCCUGUUCAGUAGAUAAAUUGAUCUCUUCAACCAUAUUAUCCUGAAAACCAGAUUAAUGUACUGACCUUAAUUUAUAAAUGCGGUGAUUAGCAGCGAUGCUUCUGUGUCCACCAAGUAUUACAUGUGAGGGUGAAGUACACGCUGUGCUUAUUGUUAUCCGUAUAAGAAAAUUCACCGAACUAACUCAUUAAAUAUUUAAAUGCUCGAGAAAUUAAAGCUAAAGAAAGUCAUUCCUGUCUACUUGAUAUUUUAGUAUUAGCAUUUGUGUAUGCUAUUAACUACACAUGUGCUUUUAUAAAUUACGCUGCAUGUGCUACAAAUUAUUACUGAUUAUUAAAAACAAAAAAUGUGAUGAUACAAUUGUGCGCAAGAACUUCUUUCUGUAGGUUCUCUAUUAUAUCUGUUUUUAUUCUAUAGAAACAUUUAAAACAUUAAAUGGAUAUUCUCAUACCGUGUAUGAAAUGGACGUUGUUUUUUGUUUUUUUUUUUUUAUAAAGAAAUUAUACGUGUAAGCAACAUUUUAAGCCCCUAAUGAUAACAAUUUUAAAUUGCAUUCUGCAAAUACUUUUUCCUUAAACGUUAUUAAAUUUACUUUCAUUAUUCUAUGUUAAAACGUUUGCUUAGAAUACAGAUGUGUAUCUACAGAUGACAAUAUAAUUCUAUGUAACGAACUAAUCACAGUUUUAACCUUUUGGGGGUUUAAUAAAAAUGCUGGGAAUAUAAAUUUAAAAACAAAAAUAUUAUUAUAAUGGCUCUCUUGUUAUGUCUGACAAUACGUCGAAUAUUCGUUAUACAAUAAUAUUCGUAUGACAGUGUGAUUAUUCGUAACAAUUACGGCAACUUAUUAUUACGUAUCUAAUUUUUGUGAAUCAUCGGAUAAUUAAUCAAGUUGAAAUAUGUACUAAUCAGUAUAUGGAAGCAAUAAAGUAUAAAUAAUACUUGAUAUAUACCUUUUUAGCAUAGAUCGUAUGAGUUUUUCAAAAGUCGUAUGAUUGAGAGAGAAAGAGAGAAAGAGAGAGAGAGAGAGAGAGACAUUUCUCUGAAAUUAUUUCAGUUAUUUUGCUUUUCCCAUCGACGUUUUACUUUAUUAUUGAUUCUCAUUUUUCAACCGACUGUAGAUCAGUCGUAGAAUCUAAGUAUUUAUUCUGAUGUAUACAACAAAUAGAGAUAGUUUACGUAUCUACAGUAACGAUUACGAAUUUAUCGUAUUCUAUCGUUUAAAUACAAUAUGAAACGUAUUCGAUGCAACCGUGCGAAAUAUCCUUUUCUCACUCGAUGCAUUGAAUACGAUUGCGCAUUGUAUACGAUUCUAAUAUCAUUUGUAUUUCUUGUGUUCGACUCUGCAACGGGGUUCCUCCACCGAUCUACGUACAGACGACAGCAACUUAUUUCGCGGGAUAAGUUUCUUCAGAACCCGGCAAU